Molecule: unclassified non-coding RNA, 303 nt
Filed under: fungal sp.
Lineage: Eukaryota; Fungi
Also listed under: 1 other name
Description: partial internal transcribed spacer region
Rfam family: Eukaryotic small subunit ribosomal RNA (bases 1-46)
Source: RNAcentral
AAGUCGUAACAAGGUUUCCGUAGGUGAACCUGCGGAAGGAUCAUUAACAAAUCAUGCUUGUGUGUAGAGGGAAAUAAUUUCUCUCAUACCACAACAACAUCAACACCGGGUAUAUUCUCGUUGUCUUAAGAUGGUGUACUACGUUACAUUGCCUUAUUAUGAUGAAAAUAUGGCCCUGUGGUUCGUGAUAUAUAUGGUGGAGUCAUCUAUUAUAUGUAUUGCAAUAUUAACCGUUUUUAUUGAUUGACUGAUUGAAUCAUUUAUUAAUAGUAACAACUUUUAACAAUGGAUCUCUUGGCUCUU